AACGAACGCUGGCGGCAUGCCUAACACAUGCCAGUCGAACGAGACCUUCGGGUCUAGUGGCGCACGGGUGCGUAACGCGUAGGAACCUGCCCUUAGGUUCGGAAUAACUCCCCGAAAGGGGUGCUAAUACCGGAUAAUGUCUUCGGACCAAAGAUUUAUCGCCUUUGGAUGGGCCCGCGUUGGAUUAGCUAGUUGGUAGGGUAAAAGCCUACCAAGGCGACGAUCCAUAGCUGGUCUGAGAGGAUGAUCAGCCACACUGGGACUGAGACACGGCCCAGACUCCUACGGGAGGCAGCAGUGGGGAAUAUUGGACAAUGGGCGAAAGCCUGAUCCAGCAAUGCCGCGUGAGUGAUGAAGGCCUUAGGGUUGUAAAGCUCUUUUACCCGGGAUGAUAAUGACAGUACCGGGAGAAUAAGCUCCGGCUAACUCCGUG
This 433-nucleotide ribosomal RNA is filed under the name uncultured bacterium. RNAcentral describes it as "partial 16S ribosomal RNA". It matches the Rfam family "Bacterial small subunit ribosomal RNA", at positions 29 to 507 of the family's 1533-position model. The record is from RNAcentral.